Molecule: long non-coding RNA, 3473 nt
Organism: Gallus gallus (chicken)
Lineage: Eukaryota; Metazoa; Chordata; Aves; Galliformes; Phasianidae
Exons: 3
Source: RefSeq, a predicted model, not a curated record
GGCCCGCAGCCUAUCUGGCCCCUUUGGCUCCUCUGGGGAUCUGUGCCCUCUUGGAAUUGGACCACGAGGAUGCAAUAUGCCAACACCAACGUGGAAAAAGAAGAGGAACGAGGCCUGCAUUUUCAAAGCGCUAAAUGAUGUGGCUAAGUGCAUCCGUAAUUUACAUGAGCAGUUACUGUGACAACUAAUAGAGAACGUCAUAAGUAGCCAGUUGAGCAUGUAAUGACCUGAGUUCUAUGCACCGUUGUGCCUCCUUGGCACACCCAAUUAGGUGUGCAUACACAUUUCUCAUGCCCCGAAGGACUCCUGCCUCAGCACAGAGCCCUGAUUUCCCAGCACAAACCCAAUCCCAGCAGCCCAGCCCAGCACAGCACAGUUUAUGCCAUGCAAAGUGCUGGCACAAGCUCCGUGGCCCAGCACCCACCAGAGGCACAGGGAGCAGAUCUUAACACACCUGAGCUGAACUUUGCACGGGCUCUGAUGAAACUCAGCACGGUAUAUAUUUAGCCAACCAGCAGGCUGAUCAAGGACCUACCAAACAAAGUGCUUUUGCAACUGACACUACAUACAAGCAAAGGCCGGCGAGAUGGGACCACAGGAGGUGGGCAUUCCUCAACACACGGCUUAAAUUGCCCCAUUUGGAGAAGGUAAUCAUAACGUUCAAUUACACAUUUCAUCAGAGAAGCGUGAAGGCGCCUCAAUGCUUAAGUGCUGCGAAGGAGAAAAGAUGUGUUAACUAUUAAUUAUUGGUAAGCAAUCUCCUCUGUGAAGUGUUUCGAGGUUGGCUAUGUAAAGUGGCUCUGCAAUAACACACGGCAAGCAAUGCUCUUACAAUCCUAUGUCCAUUCUCUCAACUGCUUCUGCUGGGUCAGUCCGUAGGUAUCACUGUCAGUGCAAGGGAAUUCAUUUUCCUGAGGAAGUGUGGCCAUGGAAGGCUUCCCAACUCCACGCUCAUCUCUCACCCUAUUCCCCCCAGCAGCCAGCUUUCCCUGCAAGCACUUCUUGAGAUGAACCGGGUUGAGACCUGAGCAGCCCAGCAGCACUGCUCUCACCACAUCAGACUGCUCGUACAGUUUGAAACCAAGGUUGGGUCAAGCUGUUUUUUCCCCAGGUUGCCAAUUGAUAAAACAUGCCGCUCCCCAUUGAGCUGGCACUGCUUGUGUUCCGUGAUUUCUUUCUCUCCUUGAUGGCUGCAGCUACUCAGCCUGCGAUAGUGGGAAGACAUCGGCUCCAAAUAACUGCUGGGGAGCCAAGAAGCAUCCUAUGCCAAACCGCUUGUGUCAGAACUUUAUCUGUCCGCUUGUGUAGGUUUGAUCCUUUAUUAAAAGCACGGGGCGCUUUGUCAUCACUUUGAGUGGGCGCAGGAUCAGGGAGGUAAAUCCUCGUCUCUUGACCUUCCUGAAGGCCACUCUGCACCACUCUGCACGGCUACGGACACUGUCUGCAUCCUCUCGUAGCACUGCUGACCAUCCCCACCUGGCGAGACCCUGCAUUUCAAAGGGUGGCAAAUGCAACACAGCCCCUAAGACCUCACCGUCUGAGGGAGGUCACGUUCUGCUUUUUGCUUCGCCUUUUAAUGAAGAGUGUUACUUAACUUUUCAAUCCACAGCUGCAUCUUCGGAGUGAAAGCUGCAGUAUUAUGUGCCGUGGUCGCUACAGGAGAAAGGAAACCUCUUUCGUAUUUACUGACGUCUUCUGCCAAAUACUCGGGGUUUUCUGAAUGAUGGACUCACUAUUAUCUCCAUGCCAUUACGUAUAAACUUCACAGCACUUUCUGGAGGGAACUUGAGCAAGAUGAAAACCUCAGGGCAACAAUCCAUUAGGCUUUUAUUUUUAUAGGCUGGGUUAAAUCUUCUUGAAACUGGUAGAUCUAACUGCGUCCCUUUAUUUAGGGUCGCUGAAGGAGACAUUAAGGCUGUGUUUCUACCCACAAUGCAGGAUGGCUCGUGCACCUGAAGGCUCAGAGGGGACAGUCUUGGGCAGGACAUUAAAAGGAAGGAGAUUUUGUGUAGAUGGACAAUGUGGUUCAGGUGGAGAAGAAGACAGAAAGAGAGCGUGUUGAAACAGGCAGGGAACGGAAGCUUCGAGCAGCCUGAACAAUCACUGAUACAAAGCCUGGACUCAACACGAGAAACAGAGGGGUUUGGGGUCACAGUGCUGCCGGGAACAGGUGUGGAGCUGGAAGCAAGGAAGCUCUCAGCUGUGUGAUUUCUUCCAUGUUCAGGAAAGGAGGGCUGAGAGCGUUCUUGUAAGCACACAGAAAUACAACAGAAAUACCCUUCUUCAUCACUCCUCCUCCUCCAAUGUGAAUCAACCAGCGAGACCUUGAACGUUAGCCAGCAGCACAGGUCAAAGGGAGGAAAUGUGCUGCAAAGCCUCCCACAUCUGCACCAUUUAACUCUUCCUGCUUGGUUUGGGAUUAAGAUGGCACACGGACAGCAGCUCUUCUCCCUCAGCUCAGCAGAGCAGGCCGUUCAGGCCGAGGUUUAGGACACUGCUGUCCCUAAUUGCUUUGGAGAUGGAUCCUUUUUAUGGCCUUCCUUUGCUAUCGUAACAAAUCAAACUUCCCCAGGCUUUGCUGUAAGCAGUUCGAACAAUGCUGUGUGCUCCGCAGGAGCUCUUCAAAAUGAGGCACCUGCCACUGGCUUUUCUCCUGUAGGUGAAUUAAUCUGCCUUGCGUGAGUAAUCCUAUUUAAAACUACAGGUUGCCUUGCAAGAAUGAGGGAAGCAAGUCUGAGGCAUGCUUUUAUGCAAGUGCAGCAAAAAGGCCACCUAGCAGUUCAUGAGGGGACACUUCUGCAAUAAAACUGCAGUUGCCAGUAACUGCAGUAAUAGAAUAAAGGAUAAUUUAAUAACGGGAGUUUUAACUCAUUUAACAGUGACUACAUUCAGAACACUUUCUCCAAGUGACCGGGCACACUGUGCUUCCCUAACUCUACUUUCUGCUAAUAAGUGAAAGAAAAAAAAGCAGGCAGUAGUCUCCUCCUUCUGCCUUUAUUGUGAUGUUACAGGAGAGCACUGCUCCAUGUAAAGCAAUUGAUUUUGGUAAGAUGAAGGACUAAGAUACAAGCUGGACACCCAGGCCAGCCUUGGAGCAACGUGAAUCACACAGUGCCAUCUCCAAACGACAGCAGUCAGCUCCUUUAGUAGCGGGUAAACCUAAGCCUAAAUGCAAGGACUCUGCAGCGACUAAAGGAGAUCCUACGGAUGGGACUCUGCAACCUAAGCAAAGCAAAAGGUGCAGAAAUGGGUCGCUCAGUGCUCACGUAGGAGCCGUGCAUCCCGAAUUUAGUCUCCAUCGUCUCUGCUCUGUUGAAGCAGUCCCCGUGCGGUGCAGGUUUAACGCCUGGGAGAUCUCUCGUACCGGCUGGCUGGCUGCUCCGUGCCGCAUCGCUUCGCUGGUCGAGUUCAGCGCAGCAAAGAACCGAACCGGACGCUGCUCCGGAGCCGAACGAUUCGAUGGGAAACCUCUA